CAUUUCCUUAAGUUUUGAUCUCCAUCUUCCUGAUGAAGCAGGCAGAGCUCAGAGGAUCUUGGCAUCACCCACCAAAGUUAGCUGAAAGCAGGGCACUCCUAGAUAAAGCAGCUUCACUCAACUCUGGGGAAUGCUACCAUUUUUUUUCCAAGGUAGAAAGGAAGCACUUCUGAGCCAGUGACCACUGAAAGAUGAACACUCUUCCUGAUCCCCUCCUCUAGAAUUCAUCUCCUCCUGCUAGCAGCCACGUCCUGGAGGAGCAGCGGAUGGGGAAUCCAUUCUGUUUCUUCCUAGUGUUUAGGAAGUUGCCCCACAAACAGAUUGCCCCGAUGUCCAACCAGAAGAAGUGAAACUGCUGCUGGGUCUGGAGAGGUGAAGACCCAUGGCCAGCUUCUGUUGUUGCCAUCUGCCAUUGCUUUUUGUUCGCUUGCUUUUGGUUUUGCAAGAAGCGCGGCCUCUGUCUCUGAUCUGCUUCAAAUCAUCAUUCCAUCAGUGAGAGAAGUGGCCGUUCCAUCAGUGGUCGCAGCCAGUUCAGCUCCUGCAUCCAUCCGCAAGUGUUCUGAGUGGAAUUUGAGGCCUCCCCAACCACCCACCAAAAAAGGAGGGUGAAAUGAAAGGAAGAAGAAAAACUCAGCAUUCUUUCCUCUGACAAAGAGUAAAACGACAAGGAAUAUCGGCCUGAAUUCUCUUCCCAAGAAGAAAGAAAUCACACCAACGCAGGCAUUUGUCUUCUGUCCAUGGUGCUGAAGUUUAUUCACUUUCAAACCACUUUCAGUAACAGCAAAUUCUUUACAAAAGGAAAAUACAGGGAAAGGGAUAAACCUCAUUGACCUGGAGGAAAUCAAGAGGAGUGAGCACAGCAUCAGAAAGCCCCCUGGCCCCAGACUGCACCCGCUUUCCUGGCCCUACCUUGAAAUCCAUCAGAUCUGCGUUGGACACGGCAUUGUACAUGGGAUUAGCUCUGGUCUGACCUAGGAGCUGGAAUGCCAGUAAAAGGAGGAAGCUCACGGUGGUGGUGGAGAAGGAGCUCAU
This 1032-nucleotide antisense RNA is filed under the name Pan troglodytes (chimpanzee). The stretch from base 300 to 472 matches the Rfam family "NPPA antisense RNA 1 conserved region 1". Lineage: Eukaryota; Metazoa; Chordata; Mammalia; Primates; Hominidae. The record is from RNAcentral.